AAUAGAUACCCUGGUAGUCCACGCCGUAAACGAUGAGUGCUAAGUGUUAGGGGGUUUCCGCCCCUUAGUGCUGCAGCUAACGCAUUAAGCACUCCGCCUGGGGAGUACGGUCGCAAGACUGAAACUCAAAGGAAUUGACGGGGGCCCGCACAAGCGGUGGAGCAUGUGGUUUAAUUCGAAGCAACGCGAAGAACCUUACCAGGUCUUGACAUCCCGUUGACCACUGUAGAGAUAUAGUUUCCCCUUCGGGGGCAACGGUGACAGGUGGUGCAUGGUUGUCGUCAGCUCGUGUCGUGAGAUGUUGGGUUAAGUCCCGCAACGAGCGCAACCCUUGAUCUUAGUUGCCAUCAUUUAGUUGGGCACUCUAAGGUGACUGCCGGUGACAAACCGGAGGAAGGUGGGGAUGACGUCAAAUCAUCAUGCCCCUUAUGACCUGGGCUACACACGUGCUACAAUGGACGAUACAAACGGUUGCCAACUCGCGAGAGGGAGCUAAUCCGAUAAAGUCGUUCUCAGUUCGGAUUGUAGG
RNAcentral lists this ribosomal RNA (529 nucleotides) under uncultured bacterium. Its description in RNAcentral is "bacterial SSU rRNA". It matches the Rfam family "Bacterial small subunit ribosomal RNA", at positions 777 to 1304 of the family's 1533-position model. The record is from RNAcentral.